AACGAACGCUGGCGGCAGGCCUAACACAUGCAAGUCGAGCGCCCCGCAAGGGGAGCGGCGGCCGGGUGAGUAACGCGUGGGAAUAUGCCCUUUGCUACGGAAUAGUCUCGGGAAACUGGGGGUAAUACCGUAUACGCCCUUUGGGGGAAAGAUUUAUCGGCGAAGGAUUAGCCCGCGUUGGAUUAGGUAGUUGGUGGGGUAAUGGCCUACCAAGCCGACGAUCCAUAGCUGGUUUGAGAGGAUGAUCAGCCACACUGGGACUGAGACACGGCCCAGACUCCUACGGGAGGCAGCAGUGGGGAAUCUUAGACAAUGGGGGCAACCCUGAUCGAGCCAUGCCGCGUGAGUGAUGAAGGCCUUAGGGUUGUAAAGCUCUUUCAGCUGGGAAGAUAAUGACGGUACCAGCAGAAGAAGCCCCGGCUAACUCCGUG
Molecule: ribosomal RNA, 431 nt
Filed under: uncultured bacterium
Lineage: Bacteria
Description: partial 16S ribosomal RNA
Rfam family: Bacterial small subunit ribosomal RNA
Source: RNAcentral